AUAAUAAUAAUAAUAAUAUAUGCCAUUUAGCAGACGCUUUUAUCCAAAGCGACUUACAGUCAUGUGUGCAUACAUUCUACGUAUGGGUGGUCCCGGGAAUCGAACCCACUACCCUGGCGUUACAAGCGCCAUGCUCAACCAACUGAGCUACAGAAGUUGGGUGAAGGUCGCUGGGUGUUGGGUGAAGGUCGCUAGGUGUUGGGUGAAGGUCGCUGGGUGUUGGGUGAAGGUCGCUAGGUGUUGGGUGAAGGUCGCUAGGUGUUGGGUGAAGGUCGCUGGGUGUUGGGUGAAGGUCGCUAGGUGUUGGGUGAAGGUCGCUAGGUGUUGGGUGAAGGUCGCUGGGUGUUGGGUGAAGGUCGCUAGGUGUUGGGUGAAGGUCGCUAGGUGUUGGGUGAAGGUCGCUAGGUGUUGGGUGAAGGUCGCUGGGUGUUGGGUGAAGGUCGCUAGGUGUUGGGUGAAGGUCGCUAGGUGUUGGGUGAAGGUCGCUAGGUGUUGGGUGAAGGUCAUGAAUAAAGUGGUAGAGGUCCUUAGGUACAGAUCUAGGAUCAGAAUACAAUAAUGUACUGCCAUGGUACAGGUUGUCCUUAGCCACAGAUCUAAGGUACAUCACUUAUUUGAUUUUUUUAAA
This is a long non-coding RNA of Oncorhynchus keta (chum salmon), 628 nucleotides long. RefSeq lists it as uncharacterized. NCBI's taxonomy places the organism in Eukaryota, Metazoa, Chordata, Actinopteri, Salmoniformes, Salmonidae. The transcript has 2 exons. The record is from RefSeq and is a predicted model, not a curated record.